GACGACGCUGGCGGCGUGCCUGACACAUGCAAGUCGGACGGUUCUUGCACCUUCAAGCUUGCUUGGCUGGUGCAGGGAUAGUGGCGGACGGGUGAGUAACGCGUGAACAUCUACCCAUUGGAGGGGGACAACCCGUCGAAAGCGGGCUAAUACCGCGUAAGCCGUGAGGUGAGAGGCUGCCUAUUGGUGGCCGCCGAUGGAUGGGUUCGCGUCCUAUCAGCUGGUUGGUGGGGUAACGGCCUACCAAGGCGAAGACGGGUAGCCGGUCUGAGAGGAUGGCCGGCCACACUGGAACUGAGACACGGUCCAGACUCCUACGGGAGGCAGCAGUGGGGAAUAUUGGGCAAUGGGGGUAACCCUGACCCAGCGACGCCGCGUGAGGGACGAAGGUUUUCGGAUCGUAAACCUCUGUUGUACGGGAAGAAGGAAUUGACGGUACCGUACGAGAAAGCCCCGGCAAACUACGUG
RNAcentral lists this ribosomal RNA (468 nucleotides) under uncultured bacterium. RNAcentral's name for it is "bacterial SSU rRNA". It matches the Rfam family "Bacterial small subunit ribosomal RNA", at positions 33 to 507 of the family's 1533-position model. The record is from RNAcentral.